RNAcentral lists this microRNA precursor (88 nucleotides) under Sorghum bicolor (sorghum). Its description in RNAcentral is "miR172d stem-loop (sbi-MIR172d)". Its record names the gene sbi-MIR172d. The record is from miRBase by way of RNAcentral. Lineage: Eukaryota; Viridiplantae; Streptophyta; Magnoliopsida; Poales; Poaceae.
UGGCAUCAUCAAGAUUCACAACCCAUGGAUCCAAAUAAACCACUGAUUUGGAUCGAGGAGAUGCAUGAGAAUCUUGAUGAUGCUGCAU